AAUCACUAAUAUGGUAGGGAUUGAAACAAACAAAUAAUUCAGACAAGCGGGGAAGCUGAAAACCUUGGCUUCUGUAGCUAAAAGGUUCAAAAAUAAGCUUUAACUCUCAAUAGUGAAAUUGCACAAAGCACUUUGAGUGAUUUAGCAAUAUUUCAUAAUGGUAGAUACGAUUCAAAAUGAACACCAAUUAAAAGAACCAGGAAGAAAUAAGGAAGCCAAAACCUAUCUAGGAUUCAAAAUUUCAAUACACUGAACUCAACACCAAAAAACCUGUGCUUCCAAGUAUAAUUCGUACUAAGAAAACAUAGGUGAAGUUCAGUGUUGUUUCUCGAAUAAUGCAAACACAGAAGUGCAUCCCCUUCUAGAGCUCAGAGAAAAAAAAUAAUCNNNN
RNAcentral lists this long non-coding RNA (391 nucleotides) under Olea europaea (common olive). Its description in RNAcentral is "long non-coding RNA (OEUR_LNC012980)". Lineage: Eukaryota; Viridiplantae; Streptophyta; Magnoliopsida; Lamiales; Oleaceae. The record is from RNAcentral.